CCCCUUCCAUUAGGCAAGCCGCGCAAUUAUAUAAGAAUUGUCCUUUCGGGGACUAUGGACAUAAACGCGCUCGUAAUAAGCGGAUCGGACCCGGGGGCGGUACCCGGCGGCUCCACCAAGAGCGUAUCUAAGGAUACGUUGUUGAUGGGGCCGAAAUAGGAUCGACGAACGUCUAAAGGGGUUAGCUUUGUUUCGGCUGUCUGCCACCGUUAUCGGCGAAACUUGUACAAUUGCAAAUGACAAUCGUGCUCCAGUAGCAAUGGCCGCGUAAGCGACCGGAGAUACUGAAAUCUUAAGCCCUGGCGCCUAGCUGCGUCAGGCGGGGUUCGUAGGUACCUGGCAACAGAAACCUACACU
Molecule: transfer-messenger RNA, 357 nt
Filed under: Cognatishimia activa
Lineage: Bacteria; Pseudomonadati; Pseudomonadota; Alphaproteobacteria; Rhodobacterales; Paracoccaceae
Rfam family: Alphaproteobacteria transfer-messenger RNA
About the family: Bacterial tmRNA, also known as 10Sa RNA or SsrA, is named for its dual tRNA and mRNA-like properties. Its role is to liberate the mRNA from a stalled ribosome. To accomplish this part of the tmRNA is used as a reading frame that ends in a translation stop signal.
Source: RNAcentral